Molecule: ribosomal RNA, 500 nt
Filed under: uncultured cyanobacterium
Lineage: Bacteria; Bacillati; Cyanobacteriota
Description: bacterial SSU rRNA
Rfam family: Bacterial small subunit ribosomal RNA
Source: RNAcentral
GGGUAAUCUUCCGCAAUGGGCGAAAGCCUGACGGAGCAAUACCGCGUGAGGGAGGAAGGCUCUUGGGUUGUAAACCUCUUUUCUUAGGGAAGAAGCUCUGACGGUACCUAAGGAAUAAGCAUCGGCUAACUCCGUGCCAGCAGCCGCGGUAAUACGGAGGAUGCAAGCGUUAUCCGGAAUCAUUGGGCGUAAAGCGUCCGUAGGUGGCAGUUCAAGUCUGCUGUUAAAGGCUGGGGCUUAACCCCAGACAGGCAGUGGAAACUGAACAGCUAGAGUGUGGUAGGGGUAGAGGGAAUUCCCGGUGUAGCGGUGAAAUGCGUAGAUAUCGGGAAGAACACCGGUGGCGAAAGCGCUCUGCUGGACCACAACUGACACUGAGGGACGAAAGCUAGGGGAGCGAAUGGGAUUAGAUACCCCAGUAGUCCUAGCCGUAAACGAUGGAUACUAGGUGUUGUGAGUAUCGACCCUCACAGUGCCGCAGCUAACGCGCUAAGUAUCCC